AACCUCCGCAAUGUGAGAAAUCGCGACGGGGGGAUCCCAAGUGCCAUUCUUAACGGGAUGGCUUUUCAUUAGUGUAAAGAGCUUUUGGAAUAAGAGCUGGGCAAGACCGGUGCCAGCCGCCGCGGUAACACCGGCAGCUCUAGUGGUAACAAUUUUUAUUGGGCCUAAAGCGUCCGUAGCCGGUUUAAUAAGUCUCUGGUGAAAUCCUGUAGCUUAACUGUGGGAAUUGCUGGAGAUACUAUUAGACUUGAGACCGGGAGAGGUUAGAGGUACUCCAGGGUAGAGGUGAAAUUCUGUAAUCCUGGGAGGACCGCCUGUUGCGAAGGCGUCUAACUGGAACGGUUCUGACGGUGAGGGACGAAAGUUAGGGCGCGAACCGGAUUAGAUACCCGGGUAGUCCUAACUGUAAACGAUGCGGACUUGGUGUUGGGGUGGCUUUGAGCUGCUCCAGUGCCGAAGGGAAGCUGUUAAGUCCGCCGCCUGGGAAGUACGGUCGCAAGACUGAAACUUAAAGGAAGU
RNAcentral lists this ribosomal RNA (519 nucleotides) under uncultured bacterium. RNAcentral describes it as "bacterial SSU rRNA". It matches the Rfam family "Archaeal small subunit ribosomal RNA", at positions 345 to 866 of the family's 1478-position model. The record is from RNAcentral.